GUGACAUUUCCACUCAAAAGAAUUACAGCCACCGCUCAAAAAAAGAGAAGAAUUAGAGCCACCACACAACCUAUUCUCCCCCAAAUCGGCCCCUUCCUAAACAUCCUCGUCGACCGCCGCCGCCGCCCCCUCUGCCGUUGACCACGCCCUCCACCUCCCCCCCUUUGGUUGACCUGGGUGACCCCAUCGGGAUCUAUGGUGGUGGUGCUUGGAGCUCGGCAUCGCCUCCCUCGAUACGCCUCUGGUUUGCGAGGUCGUCGUUGCCUCCUCCCUUCUACACCACCACCAGAACUGGUCGACGAUGUCGGUCGCCUCCAUCUCUUCUUUACAGUCCAUCACGUCGACGAGCAUACGCCCCCACCACGGCUUCCUCCCCGCCAACGGCAAGCGUGGUGUCCCAUCUCUACUGUGUUGGUACAAUACUUUCCUCAGAUCCGUCUUGGUGGAAACCCGAUGCAGGUGCUAUUAGUGAAAGGAUUGGAGACUGGUUCUAGCAGUGGUUGGUUUGUUCGAGGAAUUCCUGGUGCUCGUGAUUAGUAAAGGGUUUCAGCCAGGGCAAGUAAUUAUCAGCUGAGCAAAGGCUACAAGAUGCUAGGAGGAGAAGUUUGAAUGGAGGCAGAGAGUACACUAGGAAACAGAAUGGAAAAAGGAAGAGAAUACAAUGUUGAAGCACAAGAGUGAGAGGCUAGCGGAAGUUAAAUCAAUAAACUAUAAGCAUUUUGAAUGAUUAGGGCCUCGUGUUGUUGGGAACAUUACAACCAUGGGGAAAGCUAAUUUUGGUUGCUAGUUUAGCAUAGAACACUAUAUGCUCAUUUUGGUCGUGUCGCAUCCAAAAACAUAUGUAAUUUUCCUUUUGUUGCACAACACCCUUAUAUAUGGGCGUUUCUAGGAACAUAUGUAUUUGGUUGUUAAUUUCAUUGAAUGAAGUUAAGUUUUACGAAGAGGUCCAUAUGUGAAUUAUGAAAUAGUGUCAUUUGUCUGGAUUGCCU
This 989-nucleotide ribosomal RNA is filed under the name Triticum aestivum (bread wheat). Its description in RNAcentral is "partial small subunit ribosomal RNA". The record is from RNAcentral. Lineage: Eukaryota; Viridiplantae; Streptophyta; Magnoliopsida; Poales; Poaceae.